UCGGGUGUGGCCAAGCGGUAAGGCAGCGGACUUUGGAUCCGCGAUCCCAGGUUCGAAUCCUGGCACCCGAG
This 71-nucleotide transfer RNA is filed under the name Thermogemmatispora sp. RNAcentral describes it as "tRNA-Gln". It matches the Rfam family "tRNA". From Rfam's summary of the family: Transfer RNA (tRNA) molecules are approximately 80 nucleotides in length. Their secondary structure includes four short double-helical elements and three loops (D, anti-codon, and T loops). Further hydrogen bonds mediate the characteristic L-shaped molecular structure. tRNAs have two regions of fundamental functional importance: the anti-codon, which is responsible for specific mRNA codon recognition, and the 3' end, to which the tRNAs corresponding amino acid is attached (by aminoacyl-tRNA synthetases). tRNAs cope with the degeneracy of the genetic code in two manners: having more than one tRNA (with a specific anti-codon) for a particular amino acid; and 'wobble' base-pairing, i.e. permitting non-standard base-pairing at the 3rd anti-codon position. RNAcentral also lists the same sequence under 2 other names. Lineage: Bacteria; Bacillati; Chloroflexota; Ktedonobacteria; Thermogemmatisporales; Thermogemmatisporaceae. The record is from RNAcentral.